Molecule: ribosomal RNA, 267 nt
Filed under: uncultured bacterium
Lineage: Bacteria
Description: partial 16S ribosomal RNA
Rfam family: Bacterial small subunit ribosomal RNA
Source: RNAcentral
UGCCUAAUGCAUGCAAGUCGCACGGAGCUUCGGGCUCAGUGGCGGACGGGUGAGUAACACGUAGGAACCUGCCCAGAAGUGGGGGAUAACUCCUCGAAAGAGGGGCUAAUACCGCAUACGGUCUACGGACCAAAGCAGGAAUGCGCCACUGGAGGGGCCUGCGGUGGAUUAGCUAGUUGGUGGGGUAAUGGCCUACCAAGGCGACGAUCCAUAGCUGGUCUGAGAGGACGGCCAGCCACACUGGGACUGAGACACGGCCCAGACUCC